CUAAAAUUGUUUGUGUACUAAAAAAAAAGAAACAUAAAUCGAGUCUCAGCUGUAACUGCUGAGGACUCUCCAGACCUUGUGGUUCACAUACAUUUCACAGCUCUACUGAAAUUCACAGGUAAAUAAAAACAUACUGCCAAACUCUAGGGAGCACAGAGACUACAAAAUACUACUACACAACCAGAUUUAAAAAUAUCUACGGCAGCUAACACUAUAGAUGGCUGAGGAAGGGAGCUGCAAGAAACAGAAUGAGAGAGAACCAGCGAAGGAGCCAGACGCCUUCUGUGAUGCAGGAGGGGCAGGGACCCAGAGGCCCCGAGCCUCCGAAAAGACACACAGGAAGAAGGAACGGCCCAAGGACAGAUUGCCCAGGUAUUUCUCAGGAUUGCAUGGCUAGAAAGCCAACCUGCUCACUGAGGAGAAGGAGGAGGCGCUGCCGGCCAGCUGAGUACAGGAAGGCACCCUGCGGGCUGAGGAAAGGAGACGGGGGGCCAACUCCGGAGGCCAGGGCCUAAGGGGCUGGAAGUCCCUCCCGGUGAAGAGCAGAGCCCCCAAACGCUGACGGUGUGAGCCUUCGAAAGGGUAAGCCACGGCAUGGCCGGUGUGGCCGAAUCAACCCCAGGCUCGAACCAGGAAUUCAACUUUCCCUGCUGGCUCUCUGUGUGACGU
This 669-nucleotide long non-coding RNA is filed under the name Fukomys damarensis (Damara mole-rat). Its description in RNAcentral is "lncRNA (ENSFDAG00000027186.1)". The record is from RNAcentral. Lineage: Eukaryota; Metazoa; Chordata; Mammalia; Rodentia; Bathyergidae.